AACAAUACAAGGCAGUUAAAAUGCUUUGUAAUUGGAAUGAUAGAAAUUUAAACCACUUUUUAAAGUAUCAAUUGGAGGGCAAGUCUGGUGCCARCAGCCGCGGUAAUUCCAGCUCCAAUAGCGUAUAUUAAAAUUGUUGCAGUUAAAAAGCUCGUAGUUGAAGUUCUGCUGAAAGUAACCGGUCUGCUUUUAAUAAAAGUGGUAUCUUGGUAUGUAUUUAGCAAUGAUGUCCUUUGAAGUGUUUUUUACUUUAUUGUAAUAAAGCAUAUUCAGGACUUUUACUUUGAGAAAAUUAGAGUGUUUCUAGCAGGCUGACGCUUUGAAUACUGCAGCAUGGAAUAAUAAGAUAGGAUUUUAGUUCUACAUUAUUGGUUUUAAGAGCUAAAUUAAUGAUUGAUAGGGACAGUUGGGGGCAUUUGUAUUUAACUGUCAGAGGUGAAAUUCUUAGAUUUGUUAAAGACAAACUACUGCGAAAGCAUUUGCCAAAGAUGUUUUCAUUAAUCAAGAACGAAAGUUAGGGGAUCGAAGACGAUCAGAUACCGUCGUAGUCUUAACUAUAAACUAUGCCGACUAGAGAUUGGAGGUCGUCUUUAUAAAC
This 598-nucleotide ribosomal RNA is filed under the name Hepatozoon canis. RNAcentral's name for it is "SSU rRNA". It matches the Rfam family "Eukaryotic small subunit ribosomal RNA", at positions 479 to 1086 of the family's 1831-position model. Lineage: Eukaryota; Apicomplexa; Hepatozoidae. The record is from RNAcentral.